GACGAACGCUGGCGGCGUGCCUAAUACAUGCAAGUCGAACGCAGUGGGGACGGGUGAGUAACACGUGGGUAACCUCCCAUAAGAGGGGAUAACACUUGGAAACAGGUGCUAAACCGAUACUGAUGGAUGGACCCGCGGUGCAUUAGGUAGUUGGUGAGGUAACGGUUCCACAAGGCCACGAGGAAUAGCCGACCGAGGAGGGGGGUGGGCCACACUGGGACUGGGACAGGCCCCCUCCUCCUACGGUAGGCAGAAGUAGUGAAUCUGCAGCAAGGUAUGAAAGUCUGACCGGGAAACCCCGCGUGAGUGAAGAAGGUUUUCGGAUCGUAAAACUCUGUUGUUAGAGAAGCGGUAUCUAACCAGAAAGCCACGGAUAACUACUUGCCAGCAGCCGCGGGAAUUC
RNAcentral lists this ribosomal RNA (403 nucleotides) under uncultured bacterium. RNAcentral's name for it is "partial 16S ribosomal RNA". It matches the Rfam family "Bacterial small subunit ribosomal RNA", at positions 28 to 526 of the family's 1533-position model. The record is from RNAcentral.